AUUCACCUUAGGAGUAUUCGUAUGUCCGUUUUGCAAUGGUAAUUUUCUGCUAUUUGUCAUUUUGCCUUUGUAAUCUCUUUUUUUUUCUUUUAUUAUGGUUAUAAAGUCUCGAAUUUGAAUAUCAGGUUUAAGUCUGGAUUGGAUUCGAAAUUUUAAGUUUAAAAUUUUCUAUUAGAAUUUUAGAGAUUUGGGCUUGUAGGAAGUACGGAAAUAUUAAAUUUAAAUAAAUUAUUAAGAUUAUUAAGAAUAUUGAUUCAAACUUGAUCCGAACAAACUUCAAAAACUUGGAAAAAGAGUAAGUGCCUAAAUUGGUUUUUUUUUUUUUUUUUCCCCUCUGGAUUCUUUUCACGAAGUUUAUGUUUGCUUUGUAGUAAAAGCUUGAGCUUUUGAGGGGUUGGUUCCAUGCAUUAUUGUUGCGUGUGGAGGGUUGAAUUCUGAUUAGUGCUUUUCUAAGAGUAGCUCAGUUUGGAAAUAAAAAGCCCGAAGGCUGCUGAUGGGGAUCUUGGUGUAGGCAUAUACCUCCUUGUGACACCCUGGCUUCUCACAGAAUUGGCUACUGCUACACACGCAUCAUGUACAUUUUCACCUGCCGUGAUGCAAUUCAUUGUGAUGGCGGUGCUUGCUUUUAAGUGAUAGGAUAUUUUACUUUGUUGCAGUAUGCAAUGUGCUUGUGCCUUGGGUAAUAGAAGCUUUGUCGUAAACAUAAAAUCUAUUCUGAACCUUGCAAAACACACAGUUCUGAAAGGGGUGGAUGAGCAUACCCUCCUUUUAUGUACAGAGGCAUGCAAUCAAAAUUAAAACCACCAAUAAUAGUACCCAGUUUCAAGAACAACAAAUUAGUAUGGCCUCACAAAAGUACCAGGAAACCAUCUGGGAAAAAUUGAGUUUUUUGCUUUCACAAUCAGUGCAUAUAUCCCAUAACAGGGGACGUGAACCACAGCCAAGGCAAAAUACCAUAAAGGAGCCCACGCAAUAUCAAGCUCCAGGAAUGGAUAAGGCCACCUGGGUUGGGCGCGAGAAUUAUGUUACUGGCUCUUGGGGGAAGAUCUAAAAUAUUGAAUGCCAUAUUUCCAAUGAUUCAAUUUUGUAGUGUAAUUUGAAAAAUUAUGCUUACCAUGUAAAACCACAGGCAUGAAUCACCCAUUGAAAAACAACAUAAAGGCAACUCCACUGCACAAAAUAUGCAAGCCGGAACCAAGGGAAUGGCUGAAAGCAGGACAACAGGAGUAAUGACUAAACCUGUGAAACUUUAAUAGAUAAAAAUCAAAACUCACCCUUGAUGGCGAUACUUUACAAGGCUGUUUAGAGCAGUAUCCAGCAAAAGAAAAGCAGCAUUCAAAGUGUGCAUGCAACCCAUCAGCACAUUGAGUCCAAGGUGUGCAUUUGAUGCAAAUGGGACAAUAAUACACCAAAAUAUUACGUCUGUUAGGAUGACAGCACCUGCACAAGUCUGAUAAAUAGUUUGCAUAAGAUAUCCCCAAAGUCCAGCUCUCAGCCUAAUUGUCUCUUCUGCAUAAUGACUUUGCAACUUGAUAGUUCCCUUCAUUGCUUUUUCCCUGCAAGUUGCAGAGCUUGUAGUUCCAUUAUCUUCCACAUCUGUUCUCAAGAACUCGUCAGUUUCCAAAUUUUCAGAGGGAAUUUGCAAUGAUGACGUCCAACACCCAUAUCCAGAUGUGACAGUGGCAAGCGCAAAAUAUACCAUAACUAAUGCAAAUGUCCACCUGCACAUCAGUCAUUAAACAAAGCAGAAAUCAGAGAGCAUUUAAUUUUCAACUGAACUGCAUUUAGAAAAUUUUCAUAAAGCUUAGAAGCCAAGCAAAUAAAAGCGGAAAGUCUAUCGAAGAAAAGCCAAAGAGGAUCAAAGCAUCUCCAGCAUGGCUUCCAUAAAUCAUUCAAGAACAAUGGCUCUGCUUUUACUUUCCUGGUUGUAUAAAAGGCAACCAAAGCUGAGCCAACCCAAUAGGAUAUUCCAGUAGUCAGCUAAUGAUGAUUAAACCUGUUACAAUCUCACAUUGCUAAGGAACAAGCUUGAUGACAUCCUCCUCUUCCAGCUGGUUUUCAAGAGUGAGUUUAUUCCCCUCGUGGUGUUCAACAGUUUAUAAAUCAAUGGUACCGUGUAUUCCGUUUUCCUUCUCCAGGAGGAGGGGUCAUCAACCAUGUCUGUCUGAAGUCUGAUAGCCACGGUGGUUGACUUUCAACUAAUAGGUUUCGGUUUUUCCAUAAUGGGUUGCGUUGAGGCCCAUUUUUUACAAGUGAGAAUUGGCCCACUAUACUAGCUAGGGGCUCCCAUUUUAUCUAACAGUUGAUCAUACAUUACAUAGUUCUGUGGACUAUUAGUUUUCCACCAGAAAGUCCAAAUUAAUUCUCAAACAGUCAAACACUUACCUUGCCAAGCAAAGAAGAUUGUAGAGCAAAAAUAGUUUAGAUGAUAAUUUCUAGUCCUUAGGAGCAGUAUAGAGGAAUCAAUUAAAGAUUUAAACAAAACAUAAACUACUAUACUAAUUCGUUAGAGAAACAUAUGAUUUAACAUAGCAAAUGAAUCCACCAUUUCUUGGUAACAAGCAAUGCUUGAUCAAUAAGAUCUAGCUACCGUGUAAUCAGAAACUUACUCAGUGUAAUACACGAAGAUGGUGGCAUCCCAUUCCUCGAUAUCCCACAUUAGAAAUCCAGCCAUUACCAGAAAGGAGACGAAACGAGUGGCUAAUAACCAUCCUGGAUGAAACCCUUUCCAGCAACUGCUCCAUAGUUGGGACGACCCAACAUGAUUUCUUGGCAUAGCAUUUACAAAACCAUCAGUGUCUGGUCGAGCCACAAGGAGGCUCUCAUAGAUGGUGUUGGUGUCGUAUUUUGAGGCAAGUAGCUCCUUCCUGUAUAGCACCCAUAACGAGCCGAAGAAGGAUGCGCCAACAAUGCCAAAACAAAUGAAAUCAUACCAGUAGACCACAAGGGCCAUAGUUACCUUCUGGGCUCCUCCUCGAAAAGACUGAAAUGUAUUAGCAGGAAUACCUAGGUUCAAUAAUGAGGGCCUGGAAUGACCACCAUGGAUUACAAGGUCUAGAGCAUAGAUUAGUUGGAGUAGAGAUUUAGGUGGUGCAUGGCUUAACAUAACAUGGGACUGGUAGUUUUGACUGUUUGGUUAUAUACUUAAUUAUGGCAUUAUGCUUUUCUAAUGAAAAAGAUUAUAAAAAGGGAGGGCAAGGAAAUGUUGGUUAAUUAUCUUUGUAACAGUAAAUCGAAAGUUCAGUCUAGCUACACAGACAUAUUUGUGCAAUUAAUAUAUAAGUUCCUGGGUCUCCUCAUAUUGGCAUUUACGAAGAUUCUUAACUUCUACUCCCACUGCUGGCUUUGUCACUCUAUACAAUUCAAUUUUACAAAUUAAGAAGCCAAAAUAAUAAUAAUUUAGCGAACCUACAUAUAAUUAUAUAUAAAAAUAUAAUAAAACUAGCUCUUAUUUUAGAUGGCUGAAAAGCUAUGAUUAACCGCCGUAAAUCCUCCAUCAACAGCCAAGUUAUGUCCGCGCCGAUUCAUCAGAUGCUAGAAAUUAAGCUUCCUCCGCUAUAUGUCUUGCCGUCAAGUUCGCCAGGGCAGAAUUAUUUGCUUUAACUUCCCUGGGUUCCAAAUUAUAAGCCUUGCAAUAAAGUGGCGUACGUUGCAACGCCGUAGGGAGCUAGAGAUGCAAUUCACCCGUAUCCCAUGAACCCUUAACUCACCACAAGCUGUUCUUACUGGACCCACAAAUGAAUGCUUUGAAAUUGUGUCCGGUUCCACCCAGAGAAGAUGCGACGCUGGUUGAGAAUAUGAUAGAUCCGCG
Molecule: unclassified non-coding RNA, 3811 nt
Filed under: Hevea brasiliensis (rubber tree)
Lineage: Eukaryota; Viridiplantae; Streptophyta; Magnoliopsida; Malpighiales; Euphorbiaceae
Source: RNAcentral